GGAUGAUGGCCGGCCGGCGCGUGUCCGCCAUCUGCGAGGCGGCGGGCAUCGCCUGCUAUGGCGGCGACAUGUUCGAGACCGGCAUCGCCCA
RNAcentral lists this transfer RNA (91 nucleotides) under Allostella sp. ATCC 35155. RNAcentral describes it as "Stella sp. ATCC 35155 tRNA-Arg". Lineage: Bacteria; Pseudomonadati; Pseudomonadota; Alphaproteobacteria; Rhodospirillales; Allostellaceae. The record is from RNAcentral.